Molecule: long non-coding RNA, 1684 nt
Organism: Mesocricetus auratus (golden hamster)
Lineage: Eukaryota; Metazoa; Chordata; Mammalia; Rodentia; Cricetidae
Exons: 2
Source: RefSeq, a predicted model, not a curated record
CUAAAUGAGAGAAAGCAAAGGGAGCUGAGAAAUUCUCACAGGCAUUUUGAUUUUACAGAUGCCUACUAACACAUGACCUUGAAUAAAAAAGCAUCCAACCCUGGAGCCCUGCAACUACAGGAAUCAGAUUUCUUGGCUGCAAAUGGAUUUUUCAAUGAUGAGCAAGAGGAAAUAACGAAGAUGGAAGCAAUCACUAAAACUAGGCUCCAAUUGUUAUCAGCAUAUCAAUAUUUGCAUUUUAGGCCUCAUGGAGCUAUACAGAGGACAUUUGCCUUAUUAGCAAGGCUUCAUGAGCCGUAAAGGAUUUUGUUUUCCAUGAUUCAUUGUUUAACAAAAUGUCAUAGGAACCGGGCCCAUUUGCCUUUUAAAGCCACCUGUCUUCUGACAGAAACAGGUGUGCUGUGUAGGUAGUGUCCUCAGUGUAAAGAUGAGCUGACCAAAGAAAUGCCUCUCGAGACGUACCAGUAUGAGGGAGAAAGUGAUACUCUGACAGCUUGGCUGUUAGAGUAUGAGCAUAAGAUUUAUGAGGCCUCUCUGCACUGCCACCUGUGAGGCUAAGAACUGAGCUCAAAUGUGGGAAGAGGCCAGUGGACAGCAACUUCCAGAUUGAUAUUUCUGAAUGAUUAUCUGUUAACUGAUCUUGAUUAAAGUCAUGUUGUAUACCAAUCCAGAUAUGCCAAAUGUUUACCAUUUAAUUGCUUUUUCAUUGCAUAGAGUUUAAAUUAAUUCAACACCCAUCUCCCCCCCCCCUUUUUUUCUUUCCAUGUCCGGCUCUCCUCUGGUUUUACAAAUAUAGGAAGAUCAGGGAAUCAUGGGAUAUGAUAUAUUUUUUUUUCUGGAACAUAUAAUCUAUUCUUUAGCAUUUAAAUAGUUGUUUAAGCAGUUUCUGACACAUUACAUACAUUUAAUAAAUAUGGCUGUUGCUUUUGCUUAAUUAACUUUUAUUGUAUAUAAAACAAUAGGUCAGAACAUUUGGUGUUAAAAUACUACUAAGCAUUUGGGAAACUGUAGUGACUCAAUUCUCUUGUGAUAAUUAUUGUAUAUUUAUCCAGAAGGGUAGUUUAGAGAAGGGAAUGGUAUAUACCAAGGGCACCUCUUAUGAGCCAGGAUCUGCUUAAGAACAUUCACAUAUAUUGUCAUAUAAUGAAAGAAACAAUAAAACAAAAAUUAGUUAUGUCUACUUUGCUACAUUGAUAGCAAAAUUUACUUCUACAGCACCACAGGCCUGGAAAACCAAAUGUUAAAUAGCAAGUCGAGUAUUUUGAUUGACUAUCAACUCUGUUUUGAACAAAAAAGGACAAGCUCAUACCAAGGAAGUGUAAUGUUAGUGAAUCAGAGAGGAGAAAGAUGUCAUUUUGUGAUAACGGAUUUAAAGUUGGGUAAAUAGGAGUGAUGGAGUCUAUGGUGUGUUCUAGGGAAAUUUUGCUUCUCAUACUUGUAUUUAGAAAUGCUGACUUCAACCAAAAGAAGUCAGAAGCAUGAAUUUUUCUUGUAACACUCACAGAAUUUAGUUGGUGGCAACUGAUGUGAAUCUGGACAAGUAGUGAGAUUAAAUAAUUGUAUUUAAUUGUCAUAAAACCAUGGAGAUUUAAGUUUAGUCCUUAGAGGACACAGUUUCAUUUCUAUUUCUAAAGUAAAUGAAAUGUUUCAAUGUAAAAGAUUAAAUAAAUAAAAUAUAUGAGUG